Molecule: ribosomal RNA, 438 nt
Filed under: uncultured bacterium
Lineage: Bacteria
Description: bacterial SSU rRNA
Rfam family: Bacterial small subunit ribosomal RNA
Source: RNAcentral
CUCAGAACGAACGCUGGCGGCAUGCCUAACACAUGCAAGUCGAACGAGACCUUCGGGUCUAGUGGCGCACGGGUGCGUAACGCGUGGGAAUCUGCCCUUGGGUUCGGAAUAACAGUUAGAAAUGACUGCUAAUACCGGAUAAUGUCUUCGGACCAAAGAUUUAUCGCCCAGGGAUGAGCCCGCGUAGGAUUAGCUAGUUGGUGAGGUAAAGGCUCACCAAGGCGACGAUCCUUAGCUGGUCUGAGAGGAUGAUCAGCCACACUGGGACUGAGACACGGCCCAGACUCCUACGGGAGGCAGCAGUGGGGAAUAUUGGACAAUGGGCGAAAGCCUGAUCCAGCAAUGCCGCGUGAGUGAUGAAGGCCUUAGGGUUGUAAAGCUCUUUUACCCGGGAUGAUAAUGACAAUACCGGGAGAAUAAGCCCCGGCUAACUCCGUG